UUGACAGCAGUGGUAAUACAGCCCUCUCUUUGUGCCCAGAUCAGGUACUAUAUAGCACUGUCACAACCAGUGCAAGCUUCCUCCACGCUGCCUCCCAAAUGUACCUUAAUCUGACCUGAAAGAACCAUCUCUAGGGAUGAGAGGAAAGUGCAGUCUCUAUGUCCUUUAAAUCCUUAACCUCU
Molecule: small RNA, 182 nt
Filed under: Gopherus agassizii (Agassiz's desert tortoise)
Lineage: Eukaryota; Metazoa; Chordata; Testudines; Testudinidae
Description: TUC338 (ENSGAGG00000019301.1)
Source: RNAcentral